AGUAGUAAUAUAAAACAAAACUAAUAUAAAAUGGCGGUCCAAACUAAUUAGAGAAACUCGCUUUAUAAUCGAUAUUACCCGAUAAAUUUCACUUAUUUAACUAAAUUCAUAUACCGCCGUUACUAAGAACUUACAAAACAAUACAGAUCUAAACUUAAUAUAAACAAUCAAAAUCAGGUCAAGGUGUGAUAAAUAAAAAAGAUUAAGUAAGUUACAAUAAAAAUCAUUUAAGAAUAUUAGUAUUAAAUUAAUUAAAAGAAAGAGAAUUUAAUUAAUAAUUAAUUAAAAA
RNAcentral lists this ribosomal RNA (289 nucleotides) under Spermophora estebani. RNAcentral's name for it is "partial 12S ribosomal RNA". The record is from RNAcentral. Lineage: Eukaryota; Metazoa; Arthropoda; Arachnida; Araneae; Pholcidae.